GUAGGGAAUAUUGGACAAUGGGGGCAACCCUGAUCCAGCGACGCCGCGUGAGUGAUGAAGGCCUUCGGGUCGUAAAGCUCUGUUGCAGGGGAAGAACACAAUGACGGUACCCUGUUAGAAAGGAUCGGCUAACUUCGUGCCAGCAGCCGCGGUAAGACGAGGGAUCCUAGCGUUGUUCGGAAUUAUUGGGCGUAAAGCGGGUGCAGGUGGCUUGGUAAGUCAGAUGUGAAAGCCUGGGGCUUAACCCCAGAAGUGCAUUUGAUACUGCUGAGCUUGAGUGCUGGAGAGGCUAUUAGAAUUCCUGGUGUAGUGGUGAAAUACGUAGAUAUCAGGAGGAAUACCGGAGGCGAAGGCGGAUAGCUGGCCAGACACUGACACUCAGACCCGAAAGCGUGGGGAGCAAACAGGAUUAGAAACCCCAGUAGUCC
RNAcentral lists this ribosomal RNA (428 nucleotides) under uncultured bacterium. RNAcentral describes it as "partial 16S ribosomal RNA". It matches the Rfam family "Bacterial small subunit ribosomal RNA", at positions 354 to 796 of the family's 1533-position model. The record is from RNAcentral.